This 468-nucleotide ribosomal RNA is filed under the name uncultured bacterium. RNAcentral describes it as "partial 16S ribosomal RNA". It matches the Rfam family "Bacterial small subunit ribosomal RNA", at positions 28 to 507 of the family's 1533-position model. The record is from RNAcentral.
GACGAACGCUGGCGGCGUGCUUAACACAUGCAAGUCGAACGGAAAGGCCCUGCUUUUGUGGGGUGCUCGAGUGGCGAACGGGUGAGUAACACGUGAGUAACCUGCCCUUGACUUUGGGAUAACUUCAGGAAACUGGGGCUAAUAUCGGAUAGGAGCUCCUGCUGCAUGGUGGGGGUUGGAAAGUUUCGGCGGUUGGGGAUGGACUCGCGGCUUAUCAGCUUGUUGGUGGGGUAGUGGCUUACCAAGGCUUUGACGGGUAGCCGGCCUGAGAGGGUGACCGGCCACAUUGGGACUGCGAUACGGACCAGACUCCUACGGGAGGCAGCAGUGGGGAAUAUUGCACAAUGGGCGGAAGCCUGAUGCAGCAACGCCGCGUGCGGGAUGACGGCCUUCGGGUUGUAAACCGCUUUCGCCUGUGACGAAGCGUGAGUGACGGUAAUGGGUAAAGAAGCACCGGCUAACUACGUG